RNAcentral lists this long non-coding RNA (940 nucleotides) under Marmota monax (woodchuck). Lineage: Eukaryota; Metazoa; Chordata; Mammalia; Rodentia; Sciuridae. The record is from RNAcentral.
CCCUAAUGGAUAAUGAUAUUGGACAUAUUUUCAUGUGCUUGUCAGCCAGUAUAUAUGGAAAUGUAGCUGAGUGGUAGAGUGUUUGCUUAUCAUACAACAUACCCUGGGUUUGAGCUCCAGCACAGCAGGGGAGAAAAUGCUUGUGUAUAUAUAUUGACUGGUAAGCACAUGAAAAAAAUGCUCAAUAUCAUUAUCCAUGAGGGGAAUGCAAAUCAAAGUGAAAAUCUACCUCAGAUUUAGUAGGAUGGCUAUAAUUAAAAGAGAUAUAAUAACAAGUGUUGGUAAGAAUGUAGAGAAAUCGAAAUGCUUAUUCUCACUACUGAUUGAAAAUGUAAAAUGGUGUAGCUGCUAUGGAAAACAGUUUGAUAGUUCCUCAAAUGGUUAAACAUAGCAUUACUGUGUGAUAUAGGAACUCCACUACUAUACAUAUACCCAAGAAAUUGAAAGCAUGUGCAAAUAAAACCUUAUGUGACUGUUUACAGGAGUAUUAUACAUAAAUGCCAAAAAGUAGAAAUAAUUUUAGUUUGUAUUAACUAGUGAAUAAAUUAUUGUUUAAUGAUAUAAUGGAUAGAAAAACUAAUACAAUACAACAUGGCUAAACCCUGAAAAUGUUAAUGCUAAGUGAAAGAAUUUAGUCAAACAAGACUAUUGUAUAAUUAUAUUUAUUUGAAAUGCCCAGAGUAGGUAAAUCUGUACAUUGGAAAGUAGACUAGUGGUUGCCUGGGAUUAAUGGGAAUAGGAAGAUUGGAUGUUGAUGAUAAUAGGAUGUGGAGUUUCAUUUUGGGAUGAUAAUGUUCUAAAAUUGAUUAUGGUGAUGGAUGAUGCAAAAGUGAAUAUAUGAAAAACCACUGAAUUAUGUACUUUAAGUAGGUGACUUGUGUGGUAUCUGACAUCCCAAAGCUGUUUUAAAAAAAUCCACCUAUACAAUUCAGUAAUUUUA